AAUAACAUCAUAAUAACAUUAUGACAUCCUCUAUCCUUCUCACCAGCAGAUAGCCACCUGUAUGGGCAACUGGAUGUCUGAAUGGUCCUCUGAGCAGCUGGGGAUAAUAGAUCUCCCUCUGAUAUGCGUCCAGAUAGAAAUCUGAAGGUUGAAAAUGAAGAAUUCCUCCCUCUGGACUCUACCCUCAAUUAUUAGAGUCUUCAAAGUCUCAUGGCAAGACAAAAAUCAGAAGGACUGGUGAUAGCCCAGGAUGCAGUGAAGGACCCCAUGGAUUUUGUCUAUACAUUCACGUGAAAACCUCCCAAGAGUUUAAAUAGAAUAAAAGACUUUGA
Long non-coding RNA from Sarcophilus harrisii (Tasmanian devil), 332 nucleotides. RefSeq lists it as uncharacterized. The record is from RefSeq and is a predicted model, not a curated record. The transcript has 3 exons. Lineage: Eukaryota; Metazoa; Chordata; Mammalia; Dasyuromorphia; Dasyuridae.